This 1123-nucleotide ribosomal RNA is filed under the name Grosmannia pseudoeurophioides. RNAcentral describes it as "SSU rRNA". It matches the Rfam family "Bacterial small subunit ribosomal RNA", at positions 165 to 1343 of the family's 1533-position model. The record is from RNAcentral. Lineage: Eukaryota; Fungi; Ascomycota; Sordariomycetes; Ophiostomatales; Ophiostomataceae.
AAUCCCUGAUAUUAACAAAGGUUAUUCCGCUUUAAGAUGACUCGAUAAAUCAUAGAGAUAGGUAGUUGUUAAGGNAUGGCUUAACUAGCCCAAAACUCUUAGUCGAAACUUAAUGGUUGAUCGACCACAUUGGGAAUGAAAAAAUCCCAAUACAUGCAAGUACGGCUUUGGGCAAUAUUGGUCAUUGGUCUAACGACUGAACUGGCUUCUUGGAGGAAUGGCCUAAUUUACUAAAGUAUUAUUUAGUGAAUAUUAGAGUGAAAUGGUUAAAUCGAUUCUCGAAUAAAAUUCUAAAUAUAUAAAUUAUAAUGACUAUAUAUAUUUAUGUCUUGACUAAUUACGUGCCAGCAGUCGCGGUAAUACGUAAGAGACUAGUGUUAAUCAUUUUUAUUAGGUUUAAAGGGUACCUAGACGGGAGAAAUUUGCCUGAAAAGGAACAAUUUCUAUCUAGAGUUUAAUAUGGGAAGGUAGAACCUAAGGAGUAGAGAUUGAAUUUGUUUAUACCUGUAGGGACUGAUAAGGGCGAAGGCAACCUUUUAUGUAAUAACUGACGUUGAAGUACGAAGGCUUAGGUAACGAAUAGGAUUAGAUACCCUAGUAGUCUAAGCAGAUAACGAUGAAUGCCAUAAGUUAGGAUAUACUUAACUUCUAAAUGAAAAUAUAAGCAUUCCACCUCAAGAGUAACGUGGCAACACGGAAACUGUAAUCACUAGACCGUUUCUGACAACAGUAGUGAAGUAUGUUAUUUAAUUCGAUGAUCCUCGAAAAACCUUACCACAAUUGGAAUUUUAUUUAUAGUAUCAGAUAUUAUAAAUAUUACGAGUGUUGCACGGCUGUUUUCGGUUAAUGUUGUGAAACUGUGGCUACGGCCAUGAAAUUAACGAAAACCCUUGCUUUAUUUAUAAACAUUAUUAUAAAGCAGAUUUAAUCUUUAUAUGGAUUUAAUAAUAGGGCCAAAGACAAGUCAUCAUGACCUUUAUAUUGUGGGCUAUAGACGUGCCACAUAUUCCUAGACAAAGAGAUGCGAAAAUGUGAAUUUGAGCUAAUCUCAAAAAAUAGGAUAAAAUAGGAUAUGGAUUGUAGUCUGAAACUCGACUACAUGAAUAAGUAAUUACUAGUAAUC